CCGUUGGUGAACCAGCGGAGGGAUCAUUACCGAGUUUACAACUCCCAAACCCCUAUGUGAACGUUACCAAACUGUUGCCUCGGCGGGAAAUUCAUGCCCCGGGCGCGUCGCAGCCCCGGACCAAGGCGCCCGCCGGAGGACCAACCAAAACUCUUUUGUAUGUCCCUCGCGGACUUUUAUAAUUCUGAACCAUCUCGGCGCCCCUAGCGGGCGUUUCGAAAAUGAAUCAAAACAUUCAACAACGGAUCUCUUGGUUCUG
Molecule: unclassified non-coding RNA, 259 nt
Filed under: plant metagenome
Description: partial contains small subunit ribosomal RNA, internal transcribed spacer 1, and 5.8S ribosomal RNA
Source: RNAcentral